Molecule: ribosomal RNA, 497 nt
Filed under: uncultured bacterium
Lineage: Bacteria
Description: partial 16S ribosomal RNA
Rfam family: Bacterial small subunit ribosomal RNA
Source: RNAcentral
GAUGAACGCUGGCGGCGUGCCUAAUACAUGCAAGUCGAGCGAACAGACGAGGAGCUUGCUCCUCUGACGUUAGCGGCGGACGGGUGAUUAACACGUGGAUAACCUACCUAUAAGACUGGGAUAACUUCGGGAAACCGGAGCUAAUACCGGAUAAUAUAUUGAACCUCAUGGUUCAAUAGUGAAAGACGGUUUUGCUGUCACUUAUAGAUAGAUCCGCGCCGCAUUAGCUAGUUGGUGAGGUAACGGCUUACCAAGGCAACGAUGCUUAUCCGACCUGAGGGGGUGAUCCGACACAUCGGAACCAGGCCACAUCCGACACACCUGCAGUCGACAGCGUUAGGGAAUCUUCCGGGAUGGGCGAAGGCAGUACGGUGCAACGCCGCUCAAGUCAUGAUGGUUCUCGGACCGUAAAGCUCUGUUAUUAGGGAAGAUGAAAUGUGUGAGUACCUAUGCGCGUCUUGACGGUACCUAGUCAGGAAGCCACGGCUAACUACGUG